GGAAAUAGCUCAGUGGUACAGCAAUUGACUAGUAUUCAUGAGGCCCUGGGUUCAAUCCUCAGAACCA
RNAcentral lists this transfer RNA (67 nucleotides) under Marmota monax (woodchuck). Its description in RNAcentral is "tRNA.Thr". The record is from RNAcentral. Lineage: Eukaryota; Metazoa; Chordata; Mammalia; Rodentia; Sciuridae.